Molecule: unclassified non-coding RNA, 1999 nt
Filed under: Hevea brasiliensis (rubber tree)
Lineage: Eukaryota; Viridiplantae; Streptophyta; Magnoliopsida; Malpighiales; Euphorbiaceae
Source: RNAcentral
CUGCAUGCCACUAUGGAACUGAAUCAUCUAAUGUUCUUAAAGAUGACCUAACUUUUAGCAAGAUUUUGAUGUUUGUGCUUCAUGAGGCUGAUAAUAUAUUCCGUAAACUGCUGGGAAUACAAUGCUCAAAUGGAAGGAAGGAUGUGAUUUUGGAACUCAAGGAUACUGCAAAAUGGAAGAAACUAAAGCCACUGAUAAAGUCUUAUCUGAGGAGUACCCUGUUUUUCCUGAAUGAGGUGUCUGACUCUGAGAUAUUGGCCUUCACAUUAACCCGACUCAAAGCUUCAAUAAUAUUUUUUGCUGCUUUCCCUCAUUUACUGCAAAGACUCAUCAAGACAUCCAUUCAUUUGUGGGCAACAGGUGAAGGAACUCUGUCACUGCACUCUUUUCUCAUAAUUCGAGAGGUGGCUGCUGUAUUUAACUCAGAUUGCUUUGAUGUCUGCUUGGUUAAAGCAUACAAGGCUUUUAUUAGUCGCUGCAAGUUUGUGGAGCCAGUUAUAUUUAAGCACAUACUAUUUUUGAAGAAUUCUUUUGUUGAGCUAUGCUCUCUAGAUGUACAGAAAGCAUCUAAUAAGGCAACAGUUUCUAUCCAACAGCUUGCUAAGAUAUUGCAGCUGGGCCUACGGACUAAGAAGAAGGAAGCAGUUAAGAAGAUAUGCAGUUGGCAGUAUGCCAACUGCAUUGAACUCUGGAUUGCAUUUAUAUCAGUGAACAUACAUGAUUGUGAUCUUCAACCAUUGCUUUAUAUGAUCAUUCAGAUCAUAAAUGGAGUAGCUGUACUGUUCCCAGGACCAAGAUACUUGCCUUUAAGAGUUAAAUGUGUUCAAUGGCUGAAUCAUCUAUCCAGUUCUAGUGGUGUUUUUAUCCCUGUGGCAUCAUUGGCAUUGGAUGUUUUAGAAUAUAAAAUUGGCAAGGGGGGUAGCAAGCCAGGGAAGGACUUCAACUUUUCAUCUGCCAUAAAGUUGCCAAAACAUUGGCUAAAAUCUGGAAACUUCCAAGAGGAAUGUGUUUUUUCUGCCAUUGAACUGCUGGCAGUACACUUCGCUCAGUGGAGCUAUCAUAUAUCCUUUCCUGAACUGGCAACUAUUCCAGUUAUUUGUUUGAGGAAAUUCCAUGAGAUGACUACCACAGAGAGUUCCCGGCGCUUGGUAAAGCGUUUUAUUGAUCAGGUGGAGCAGAACAUUGAGUUUGUGCGGAAGAGGAGAGAUGAAGUUGCUUUUUCACCAAGAGAUCAGCAAUCUGUUGAAUCAUUUCUGCAGCUUGAAAAGGGCAGCGGCAAUGUUCCAUUUACACAAUAUUACAGAAGUGUCAUAGAAAAGUCUGCUUCCAGGAAUCUGCCUACUAAAAAAAAUACGAGUUACUUGGAGCUGAAGAAAUCAAAAAGAAAGAGGCAACACUCGAACAAUAAUGUAGAUGUGGCUGUGAAUGGGGAAGUGGAUUCUGAUUAAGUGGAAGUAUAUUUAUGAGAUGGAAACUGGGAAGAAUGAGACGAAAUUACAGAGUAAUGCUUUCCUGCCACCCUAUUUGAUACUUUGAAAGAUUUAGAGAAUCCUCUGCUUUUUCGUCUUUGGCAGGAAAGUGGGUGGGUGGUAAUUUAUAGUUUCUUCAAGCAAAUAUACCCAUAGGCUUCAUGAAAUUCUGGUCCUGAAUCAGAGAUUCAAUGAGCAUUGUUGUUUAGAUGUGUAGGGCUCUAGGUGGAACCUCUAUUUGCCAUGCUGUAAGGCUGAAAUCAAAGUUUUGGUUUAUUAAUAUUGAUGGUCUAAUUAUUUGUUGAGUACUGAUUCUCUUUACAAGCAUUUAAGGCUUUGUAUGGCAAGGAGAGGCAAAGAGAGGCAAGUAACUUAUAUACUCCCUACACAGGGUGAAUGAAUGAAGGUAAUGGUGAGUUUUACCUUUCCUGGUCAAGGGCUAGUUUAGAAUCGGAAUUGAAUUGAAAUCAGAUCGAGACUGUAUUUGACUCGAAUCGUAAAGGAAUUGUACUAAAAUUAAACCGAAUGGC